RNAcentral lists this ribosomal RNA (451 nucleotides) under Blastocystis sp. RNAcentral's name for it is "SSU rRNA". It matches the Rfam family "Eukaryotic small subunit ribosomal RNA", at positions 477 to 941 of the family's 1831-position model. Lineage: Eukaryota; Bigyra; Opalinata; Blastocystidae. The record is from RNAcentral.
CACAAUGCGGAACAAUGUUUUGCAAUUGGAUUGAGAACAACGUACAAACCUUAUCGAUAAACAAUUGGAGGGCAAGUCUGGUGCCAGCAGCCGCGGUAAUUCCAGCUCCAAUAGCGUAUAUUAACGUUGUUGCAGUUAAAAAGCUCGUAGUUGAAAUGAAGGGUAGUUGUGUAAUGAAUACAUUCGUGUAUUUUGUUAUUCUACUACCCUCCUUCUAAAUUCGAUAUAUGAGUAUUAAUUUACUUGUAUAUGGUUUUAGACGUUUACUGUGAGAAAAUUAGAGUGUUCAAAGCAGGCAUUUGCUUGAAUAUAUUAGCAUGGAAUAAUCAUGUAUGAUUUUCAUGAUGUAUUUGAUUGGUUUGGUUCAUGAGAAUAAGAUUAAAAGGGACAGUUGGGGGUAUUCAUAUUCAAUAGUCAGAGGUGAAAUUCUCGGAUUUAUGGAAGAUGAACA